CCCACGCGCGCCCGCCUUCCUGCCCCAGGCCAGCCUCGCGGUGUCGGCCUUCCGCUCCCUCUGGCGGAGGCGGGGGGCCAGGCAGCGUUCGGAGCGUGACUGGAGACCCGGAACUUCAAGCUAAGCCACAGAGAUAGAGAUUUAAGUAAAGGACCCCCAAUCACCGGGCUGGAAAUCAUGCUGCAGCCGUGGGGCAGUCAUGGCUCUCAAGGAUGCCGGAAGGACUGGUGGAAUCAGAGGGAGGCAGUUCACGGAGUUAGAAUCACCCAAACCAUCCACGAUGUAAAAUCCCUGCAAGUGUGCAUGACUGGACCAGAGGUGCAAAGGAAAAGAACCUUCAAAUGAAAGGACUGGCUGGGAUGCCUACCAAGACUGAGAAUCACCAUGAGAAAAUUUGGUGGUGAAGGAUCCAGGCAUGGCAGCAUUUCUAGAUGCAGAUCAUUGACUUGCGCCGUCCUUCCAAGAUUGAUAACCACAUUACUUCUAUCGGCAUUGAGAUUGAAGUGAUUAUUGCAGAUGCUUAAAUCAACUAUUUUAGUAAUUAUCCACUGUUAAAAAAAGAGGCAUAAAUAAGAGGCAUAAAUAACUAUUAAAAUGGAAUAAUAAAAAUCUCACUAAUUUAGAGA
Long non-coding RNA from Herpailurus yagouaroundi (jaguarundi), 626 nucleotides. RefSeq lists it as uncharacterized. Lineage: Eukaryota; Metazoa; Chordata; Mammalia; Carnivora; Felidae. The record is from RefSeq and is a predicted model, not a curated record. The transcript has 3 exons.